RNAcentral lists this ribosomal RNA (400 nucleotides) under uncultured bacterium. Its description in RNAcentral is "bacterial SSU rRNA". It matches the Rfam family "Bacterial small subunit ribosomal RNA", at positions 355 to 747 of the family's 1533-position model. The record is from RNAcentral.
UGGGGAAUAUUGGACAAUGGGGGCAACCCUGAUCCAGCAAUGCCGCGUGUGUGAAGAAGGCCUUCGGGUUGUAAAGCACUUUAGUUGGGGAAGAAGGUGAGUAGUUUAAGAGAUGAUUCACUUGACGGUACCCAAAGAAUAAGCACCGGCUAACUCUGUGCCAGCAGCCGCGGUAAUACAGAGGGUGCAAGCGUUAAUCGGAAUUACUGGGCGUAAAGGGUGCGUAGGUGGUUAUGUAAGUGAGCUGUGAAAUCCCCGGGCUUAACCUGGGAAUUGCAGAUCAGACUGCAUAGCUGGAGUGCGAUAGAGGGUAGUGGAAUUUCCGGUGUAGCGGUGAAAUGCGUAGAUAUCGGAAGGAACACCAGUGGCGAAGGCGACUACCUGGAUUGACACUGACACU